GAUGAACGCUGGCGGCGUGCCUAAUACAUGCAAGUCGAGCGAACAGAUGAGGAGCUUGCUCCUCUGACGUUAGCGGCGGACGGGUGAGUAACACGUGGAUAACCUACCUAUAAGACUGGGAUAACUUCGGGAAACCGGAGCUAAUACCGGAUAAUAUAUUGAACCGCAUGGUUCAAUAGUGAAAGACGGUUUUGCUGUCACUUAUAGAUGGAUCCGCGCCGCAUUAGCUAGUUGGUAAGGUAACGGCUUACCAAGGCAACGAUGCGUAGCCGACCUGAGAGGGUGAUCGCCCACACUGGAACUGAGCCGCGGUCCAGCCUCCUACGGGAGGCACCAGUAGGGAAUCUUCCGCAAUGGGCGAAAGCCUGACGGAGCACCGCCGCGUGAGUGAUGAAGGUCUUCGGAUCUUAAACCUCUGUUAUUAGGGAAGAACAAAUGUGUAAGUAACUAUGCACGUCUUGACGGUACCUAAUCAGAAAGCCACGGCUAACUACGUG
Molecule: ribosomal RNA, 497 nt
Filed under: uncultured bacterium
Lineage: Bacteria
Description: partial 16S ribosomal RNA
Rfam family: Bacterial small subunit ribosomal RNA
Source: RNAcentral